UACAGAGGUCUCAAGCGUUGUUCGGAUUUAUUGGGCGUAAAGGGCGCGUAGGCGGCGGGGUAAGUCGGGUGUGAAAUCUCAGGGCUCAACCCUGAAACUGCACUUGAUACUGCUCUGCUUGAGGACUGGAGAGGAGACUGGAAUUCACGGUGUAGCAGUGAAAUGCGUAGAUAUCGUGAGGAAGACCAGUGGCGAAGGCGGGUCUCUGGGCCGAUACUGACACUGAGGAGCGAAAGCGUGGGGAGCGAACAGG
Molecule: ribosomal RNA, 253 nt
Filed under: uncultured prokaryote
Description: partial 16S ribosomal RNA
Rfam family: Bacterial small subunit ribosomal RNA
Source: RNAcentral